GUAUGUUCAGAGGCGGCUUGCUGCUGGCUCCUUUCCGGAGCAUGUGCGCGCCCCUCGCCUUCAUCCAUAUACACUUGUGCACCUCGGUCGAAGCCUCCCGUCUGGAGCCGCCUCGCGAUCCCUCGCGGGGCUGAGGCCUUCGAACGCUUUACAUUACUGCAGCCUGUUCAAACGCAUGUCUAAUGUCCUACGGGGCGAUAUCUAAUACAACUUUCAACAACGGAUCUCUUGGCUUU
This 236-nucleotide unclassified non-coding RNA is filed under the name rhizosphere metagenome. RNAcentral describes it as "partial ribosomal RNA internal transcribed spacer region". The record is from RNAcentral.